This 495-nucleotide ribosomal RNA is filed under the name uncultured bacterium. RNAcentral's name for it is "partial 16S ribosomal RNA". It matches the Rfam family "Bacterial small subunit ribosomal RNA", at positions 28 to 507 of the family's 1533-position model. The record is from RNAcentral.
GACGAACGCUGGCGGCGUGCCUAAUACAUGCAAGUCGAACGCUAACGGAGGAACUUCCUUCUCUGGCUGAGUUGCGAACGGGUGAGUAACGCGUAGGUAACCUGACCGACAUCGUCGGAGGACUAUUGGAAACGAUAGCUACUACAGCAUAACAUUCGAUGUUCCAUGACAUUCACGUAAAAGUUGCAAUUUCAUCACUACCAGAUGGCGCUGCGUUGUUUUAGCGAGUUGGUGGGGUAACGGCUCAACAAGGCGACGAUACAUAGCCGAGCUGAGAGGGGGAUCGGGCACACUUGGACUGGGACAAGGCCCAGAAUCCUACGGGAGGCAGCAGGAGGGGAUCUUCGGAAAUUGGCGGAAGUCUGACCGAGGAACGACGGGGGAGUGAAGAAGGUUUUCGGAGUGGAAAAGUCUGUUGUAUGGGAAGGAAGAGUGGGAGAGUGGAAAGUUCACGUUGUGACGGUAUCUUACCAGAAAGCAACGGCUAACUACGUG